GGACCACGGUUUUUUGUUUGUUUGUUUUUCUUAACAAGCACCGAGAUGUAAUAAUAAUAAUUUUCAAAUGUUUUCCAACUUCAUAUUCCGUCUUCAACUCCAGACUUCAGAGCCAUCCUGAUCACUGCCGGAGCUGUUUGGCCAUGUCUGACUUCCUGAUGAUGAAGCCUUGCUGGCAGGUUGCCCAGAUUGCUGCUCUCCUGUAGAUUCCAGUCUCUCUUCAGGAGUUGCCUGCCUUCAGCAUAAUGGGCAACAUUGAAAGCAGCAAGGCGUUCGGUCGACAAGGUACCAAUCCAGAGUUCUGGGGGCCUCAUAAAAUGUCAAGCUAAUCAUUAGAAAAUCUAACAUUUUUCAGUAAAAUACCUUGAUUCUUCAAAUUGCCAAUUACACAUUUUCCCAGCUAGUAGACUGUCUCACAAAACCCUGAAGGCACACUGCUUAACAAUACCAUGCCAUAAAAUCCAACCUAAAUCAUCCUUCCGUCUCCAGCUCCUUCAGCUAUAAACUUCCAACCUCUCUAACCGACUGCAAUAUAAGGACUUUACAGCAUGCCAGAAGAGUAGUAAUAUUCAGUGGACAA
Long non-coding RNA from Trachemys scripta elegans, 580 nucleotides. RefSeq lists it as uncharacterized. The record is from RefSeq and is a predicted model, not a curated record. The transcript has 3 exons. NCBI's taxonomy places the organism in Eukaryota, Metazoa, Chordata, Testudines, Emydidae.